Suricata suricatta (meerkat) is the source of this 1283-nucleotide long non-coding RNA. RefSeq lists it as uncharacterized. The record is from RefSeq and is a predicted model, not a curated record. The transcript is spliced from 9 exons. NCBI's taxonomy places the organism in Eukaryota, Metazoa, Chordata, Mammalia, Carnivora, Herpestidae.
GAAGUUGGACAUUCCAAAGAUGGCGUAGAUGAACAUGACCAGGAAGAGCAGGAGGCCGAUGUUAAACAAGGCGGGAAGGGACAUCAUCAGAGCAAAGAGCAGCGUGCGGAUCCCUUUUGCCCCUUUGAUCAGACGCAGGAUUCGACCAAUCCUGGCGAGACGGAUCACUCGGAACAGGAGAAAGUACUAAAAAUAUUGAAUGAAUGAAUUGAGAGAGCCCAAGGAACCCCUCUUACUUCAUAGAUGCCUGAAAUUUUCAAGGUGUGAGCAUGUGACUACGUACCACUAGGUUUCCAAUGACCAUGACCAUCAUGUAAACAAUAAGGCACAUGGCUUGACCAGCGACCUCCAUACAGUCCCACAUGGUUUCUAUCCACUCUCCACACAGCACGCGGAACACAAUCAGGAAGGAGUGGAAGAAGUCAUUCAUGUGCCAGCGUGGGAGUGUACAGUCUUCAUUGAUCUUGCAGACACAUUCUUUGUAGCUUUUACCGAAGAGCUGCAUGCCGACCACAGCAAAAAUGAAGACGAUGAUGGCCAAGACCAAGAUGGGGAUCAUUCAACAUAUCUUCAGAAAGGAGGGAAGAGCACACGAGUUGGUGUGAGAGGGUGAGGAUAAAUGACUCCGUGUGAAAAGGAUGAGGGAGACUGCUGGGCGCUGUAGCAAAACGGAGAAUGUCAGCUCCGUCUGAAAGCGGUGGCCGCUGUUCAGCCCUAAAGGACUGUGCCACGCGGGCGCAUGAGCUCAGUCUUCCCAGCACUUUUAGAGCUCAGUUUGGAUGUUUCAGAGGAACUCUCAGAAAAACCCAUAAUUCUGCUUCUCCCGAUACUUGUGUAUUCAGCUGCUGCCAUCGCUAUUGCCUGUUGGCCCAAGAGGUCACACACACGGCCAUGGCAACCACAGCAAGGAUCAAGUUUAUUAGAUAAAAGGAGCCCAGAAAAAUCACCACAACAAAGAAGAUCAUCAAUGUGUGAGUCCACCUCCCGACGUCACAGCCAGACAGAGUCUCUGUUUUGAUCUCUAUCAUUCUAACAGCCUUCAGACUAAAAACAAAACAAAUACUACUUACCCUGAAUCUGUGCUUGUACCACAAAGGAGAGCAUCUUUGGACCCAUCCAAGUAAUAAAAAUACCCUGUUUAGGAACAAAUUGAAGAAUAUAACAUUAGAGAAUGUAAGCUUUAAGAGUGACACAAAAGUUAAUUAGUAGUCAUAUUCACACAUAUUCAGGCCUAGUUCUAGACAAUGUACAUUCAUUUGUUUAUUUCUUAUAUUUCCAUAUAU